This 7579-nucleotide long non-coding RNA is filed under the name Capra hircus (goat). RNAcentral describes it as "lncRNA (ENSCHIG00000002410.1)". The record is from RNAcentral. Lineage: Eukaryota; Metazoa; Chordata; Mammalia; Artiodactyla; Bovidae.
CAGAGACCACCACACCCACAGACCAGCAGACCACCCCCCAGCCCCACCACUGACAGAGACCACCACACCCACAGCCCCACCACUGACAGAGACCACCACACCCACAGCCCCACCACUGACAGAUACCACCACAGGCACAGUCACACCACUGACAACCACCACCACAGGGACCACCACACCCAGAGCCACGCCACUGACAGAGACCCCCAGAAAAACCACUACAGCCACAGUCAUACCACGGACAGAGACCACCACACCCACAGUCACACCACUGACAGAGACCACCACAGAAACCGCCACACGCACAGUCACACCACUGACAAAGACUACAACAGAAACCACCACAGUCACAGCCACUCCACUGACAGAGACAACCAGAGAGACUACCAUAUCCAUAACCCCAAUACAGACGGAGACCACCACACGCACAGCCCCACCACUGACAGAGACCACCUCACGCACAGCCCCACCACCGACAGAGACCACGACAGCCACACCACUGACAACCACCACCACAGAGACCACCACACCCAGAGCCAUGCCACUGACAGAGACCACCACACCCACAGUCACACCACUGACAGAGACCACUACAAAAACCACUACACCCACAGCCACACCACUGACAAAGACUACAACAGAAAGCACCACAGUCACAGCAACUCCACUGACAGAGACAAUCAGAGAGACUACCACACCCACAGCCACACCACUGACAAAGACCACCACAGCCACACCACUGACAAAGACCACCACAGCCACACCAUUGACAAAGACCACCACAGCCACACCACCGACAACCACCACCACAGGGACCACCACACCCACAGCCCCACCACUGACAGAGACCACCAGAGCCACAUCACUGACAACCACCACCACAGAGACCACCACACCCACAGCCCCACCACUGACAGAGACCACCACAGCCACAUCACUGACAACCACCCCCACAGAAACCGCCACACGCACAGUCACACCACUGACAAGGACUACAACAGAAUUUACCAUAGUCACAGCCACUCCACUGACAGAGACAACCAGAGAGACUACCAUAUCCACAGCCCCAAUUCUGACAGAGACCACCACACACACAGCCCCACCACCGACAGAGACCACCGCAGCCACACCACUGACAACCAUCACCACAGAGACCACCACACACACAGCCCCACCACUGACAGAGACCACUACAAAAACCACUACACCCACAGCCACACCACUGACAAAGACCACCACACCCACAGUCACACCACUGACAGAAACCACCACAGAAACCGCCACACGCACAGUCACACCACUGACAAAGACUACAACAGAAAGCACCACAGUCACAGCCACUCCACUGACAGAGACAACCAGAGAGACUACCACACCCACAGCCCCACCACUGACAGAGACCACCACAGCCACACCACUGACAACCACCACCACAGGGACCACCACACCCACAGCCCCACCACUGACAGCGACCACCACAGCCACACCACUGACAACCACCACCACAGGGACCACCAUACCCACAGCCCCACCACUGACAGAGACCACCACAGCCACACCACUGACACCAGACAGGAACCACACAGAGCAAGAAAAACCACUACACCCACAGUCAUACCACUGACAGAGACCACCACACCCACAGUCACACCACUGACAGAGACCACCACAGAAACCGCCACACGCACAGUCACACCACUGACAAAGACUACAACAGAAACCACCACAGUCACAGCCACUCCACUGACAGAGACAACCAGAGAGACUACCAUAUCCACAGCCCCAAUACUGACGGAGACCACCACACGCACAGCCCCACCACCGACAGACACCACCACCCUCACAGCCCCGCCACUGACAGAGACCACCACACCCACAGCCCCACCACUGACAGAGACCACCACACGCACAGCCCCACCACUGACAGAGACCUCCACAGCCACACCACUGACAACCACCACCACAGAGACCACCACACCCACAGCCCCACCACUGACAGAGACCACCACAGCCACACCACUGACAACCACCACCACAGAGACCACCACACCCACAGCCCCACCACUGACAGAGACCACCACAGGCACAGUCACACCACUGACAACCACCACCACAGGGACCACCACACCCAGAGCCACGCCACUGACAGAGACCACCACACCCACAGUCACACCACUGACAACCACCACCACACCCACAGCCCCAUCACUGACAACCACCACCACACCCACAGCCAUACCACUGACAAAGGCUACAACAGAAACCACCACAGUCACAGCCACUCCACUGACAGAGACAAUCAAAGAGACUACCAUAUCCACAGCCCCAAUACUGACAGAGACCACCACACGCACAGCCCCACCACUGACAGAGACCACCACAGCCACACCACUGACAACCUCCACCACAGAGACCACCACACCCACAGCCCCACUACUGACAGAGACCACCACAGCCACACCACUGACAACCACCACCACAGAGACCACCACACCCACAGCCCCACCACUGACAGAGACCACCACAGCCACACCACUGACCAUCACCAGCACAGAGACCACCACACCCACUGCCCCACUACUGACAGAGACCACCACAGCCACACCACUGACAACCACCACCACAGAGACCACCACACCCACAGCCCCACCACUGACAGAGAUCACAGCCACACCACUGACAACCACCACCACAGAGACCACCACACCCACAGCCCCACAACUGACAGAGACCACCACAGCCACACCACUGACGACCACCACACCCACAGCCCCACCACUGACAGAGACCACCACAGCCACACCACUGACAACCACCACCACAGGGACCACCACACCCAGAGCCACGCCACUGACAGAGACCCCCAGAAAAACCACUACACCCACAGUCAUACCACUGACAGAGACCACCACAGAAACCGCCACACGCACAGUCACACCACUGACAAAGACUACAGCAGAAACCACCACAGUCACAGCCACUCCACUGACAGAGACAACCAGAGAGACUACCAUAUCCACAGCCCCAAUACUGACAGAGACCACCACACGCACAGCCCCACCACUGACAGAGACCACCACAGCCACACCACUGACAACCACCACCACGGAGACCACCACACCCAUAGCUCCACCACUCACAGAGACCACCACAGCCACACCACUGACCACCACCAUCACAGAGACCACCACACCCACAGCCCCACCACUGACAGAGACCACCAAAAAAACCACCACACCCACAGUCAUACCACUGACAGAGACCACCACACCCACAGUCACACCACUGACAGAAACCACCACAGAAACCGCCGCACGCACAGUCACACCACUGACAAAGACUACAACAGAAACCACCACAGUCACAGCCUCUCCACUGACAGAGACAACCAGAGAGACUACCAUAUCCACAGCCCCAAUACUGACGGAGACCACCACACGCACAACCCCACCACCGACAGACACCACCACCCCCACAGCCCCACCACUGACAGAGACCACCACACGCACAGCCCCACCACUGACAGAGACCACCACAGCCACACCACUGACAACCACCACCACAGAGACCACCACACCCACAGCCCCACCACUGACAGAGACCACCACAGGCACAGUCACACCGACAACCACCACCACAGGGACCACCACACCCAGAGCCACGCCACUGACAGAGACCACCACACCCACAGUCACACCACUGACAACCACCACCACACCCACAGCCCCAUCACUGACAACCACCACCACACCCACAGCCACACCACUGACAAAGGCUACAACAGAAAUCACCACAGUCACAGCCACUCCACUGACAGAGACAAUCAGAGAGACUACCAUAUCCACAGCCCCAAUACUGACAGAGACCACCACACACACAGCCCCACCACUGACAGAGGCCACCACAGCCACACCACUGACAACCACCAUCACAGAGACCACCACACCCACAGUCACACCACUGACAGAGACCACCAUACCCACAGCCCCACCACUGACAGAGACCACUACAAAAACCACUACACCCAUAGCCACACCACUGACAAAGGCUACAACAGAAACCACCACAGUCACAGCCACUCCAGUGACAGAGACAAUCAGAGAGACUACCACACCCACAGCCACACCACUGACAGAGACCCAUACAUCCACAGUCACACCACUGACAACCACCACCACAGGGACCACCAGACGCACAGUCACACCACUGACAAAGACUACAACAGAAUCCACCACAGUCACAGCCACUCCACUGACAGAGACAACCAGAGAGACUACCAUAUCCACAGCCCCACCACUGACAGAGACCACCACAGCCACACCACUGACAACCACCACCACAGAGACCACCACACACACAGCCCCACCACUGACAGAGACCACCAGAAAAACCACCACACCCACAGUCAUACCUCUGACAGAGACCAGCACAGAAACCUCCACACGCACAGUCACACCACUGACAGAGACUACAACAGAAACCACCACAGCCACACCAGUGACAAAUACCACCACAGGGAUCACCACACCCACAGACACACCACUGACAAAGACUACCACACCCACAGUCCCACCACUGACAAAGACCACCACAGGUACCACUCAAGCCCAAAACUCGGUCAGCACAGUGAACUUCACAGCCCCAAUAUCACACUCUACUUCAGCCAUCCUCCCUGUGACCACUUCUCCAGCACUCAGCACUAUCUCCCAUACAUCCACCAGUAGAGGCACUGGGACACCCAUGACACGCACUACAACAGCCGCCCCCACUAGGCCACACAUGCCAUUCACCACUCACUCCCGUGCCACCGUUUCUGUCCAUACCACCUCUCACACAACAGCUCUGCCAGCAGGAACAUCCUUCCGGCCCACCACCACCCAUUCCACCCCAUCACAUCCAGAGACCCUUCCCGUCCACGUGUCAACAUCUGUGACUUCCACCUCUCACCGAGUCAUCACCCCAACUGAGUCCCAUGCUACCUACUCCACCACAAAGCCUACUGGCACCCCAACGCCAUUGACACACAUCCUGGUCACAUCCACGGCACCCACAUCCAUGUCCUCACUGUCGACAACAACAACAGGGAGCACCACACCCACAACCCUGCCACUCACAAAGACCACAACAGGGACCACUCAGGCCCAGAGCCCGGUCAGCACGGUGCCAGCACAAAGCUCUAGCUUCCCCUCUCCAUCAUCUUCUCCGGCUUCUCUGAACCCAAGCCGAAGUCCUCUAACCACUUCUGUUUCCGUGUCGACUCUGCCCCAUUACCCCCCUUCUUCCACUGUCUCGACCCCCUCCUCCUCGCCCACUGCUUCCUCUCCUCCUCCUCACGGGUCCUCGAACACCUCUCCUUUGAUAUCAUCUUCCCCCUCCCCUUCUGCAGUCUCCACUUCACACAGCAUCCCAAGUGUCAGCUCAGCUCCACACCGUCCCUCGCCCUCUGCACCUCUGACCGAGUCACAGACAGCAUCCCUGCUGACCAGCCCCCCUUCCCCCGCCGCCUCCACACCCAUCAGGCCCUCCCUCUCACCUCCAUCAGCUCCGACGCUGUCCCCUGCCCCCACUGUUAGUACCGUCAUCCUGUCUACACCCCGGACCACAGUCAGCAGCCCCACCUCCUCCGUCCCGUCCUCUCAGUCCACCACCGCACAGGCCACCUCUCUCACCACCCAAACCCCCACCCACGGCCUCCUGUCUUCUACGCUGGGCGUGACAGCCGUCCCAAGUUCUCCAGCCACCAACCUCACCACCAGACAGCCGAGUACCACCAGGCUGCAGACUACCGUGUUCCUGGCCAGCUCCAUCACUGCACACGAAAGCUCCUUCCUCCCCACCGCCGGGUCUGUGUCCACAGAGAGCCAGUCCAUCUCCACCUUUGCUACAUCUCUUCCCAGCUCUGCAGGUACUGAGACAGGCAGACCAGAGACACCUCCGUCCACAGGUCGGUGCUGGGCCAGGGAGGAAGGUGGCGAGGGAGGCCGGGGCUGAGCAGGGCUCCACCAGGGCCAGGGCUGGAAUCUGCCUCACCCUCUGAGAAACCCUCGACCUUGAGGGACUCCCAAGGCAGCCAGGUUUCAGUAAAAAAAAAAAAAGAGAGAGAAUUAACGUCAGGCUUUGUUUCUAUGCAAAGCUGUGAGGUCUGACCUCGGUGGGGCUCAGACGAGGGGAGAAGGCCUGGGGCCCAGGGUGGGGGCCCAGGGGAGACACCACUGUGGGCAGGUGCCCACAUGGCCCCGUUCAGAUCAUCUAAGCAGUCAGGCAGCUGGCAGCCUUCCCUCGGCAGAGCCAGCACCACCCACUGUGCCGCACAACAAGGGGUUCAAAACCCACGCCCUAGGGCCAGGUAUGUCAGCUCCUGCUCUCGAGGGGGCAGGUGCGGAGCCCCCAGAGGCCACGCCCCGGGGCUGCUGCCUGACGCCCGCCUCUCCACGCCCAGGGGCCUGCAGCGUGAAGGAGUCGGAGGAAGAAGUCACUUUCCAGGGGUGCACGGCCAACAUCACGGUGACCCGCUGCGAGGGUGUGUGCGCCUCCUCGGCCAGGUGAGCCAUCGGCCCCACCCUGCCUGACAGAGACUCUUCUCAUAGAAGCUAGGGAAGACCCGCCGAGAGCUCCCAGCUCCAGCAGUGUGCCUCCCCGUCAGGGCACCCCGGCCCCCCCACACACACCUGUCUGCGCCACACCUGCUGGAGCGGGGGAGCUCAGAAACGGGAGCCAGCCCCUCCCUGCAGGCCCAGGCUGGGACCCUGGCGCCCACCUCCCCACGGGCCGGGGAGGGGCACGCUGAGGCGGCUGCCCUGACGCAUGCUCCCCCCACCGCUCCUCUGCAGCUUCGACAUGGACACCAUGCAAGUAGCCACCACCUGCAGCUGCUGCCGCCCUGUCAGCUCCUACGAGGCGGAGCUCGUGCUGCCCUGCACGGACCCUGCGGCGUGGGGGCAGCAGCUGGUGCUCACGGUGCAAGUGUUCAGCAGCUGUGCGUGCUGCCGCCAGCGCUGUGGAGACUAGAGCUCCAUCCACAAAACCGCCCGACACGCUGGGCCCCGCAGCCCCUUCCGAGGCACAGCCGUGGCCUCCGAGAGCCCUCGGAGGUGGCUCACCCGGGCCGCCGGAGAGAAAGGGGGUGCGGGCGGGGGUCCUGCAGACCCCGACGGGCCCCAGCAGGCUGCACGGGACUGGCUGGCCUCCGGGGCCACACAGGGCGCUGCCUGCCAUGCCCACUGCUCGUGCACAGCCUCCAGUCCUGCUGGGACUAAGACCGGGGGCAGAGCAGCACGGAAGGCUGUCCAGAAGGGGCUCCUGGGGAGGCCGGGCCCCCGAGCAGAGGGUCGGGGAGAGACACAGGUCACAGCAUGCAGAGGGAAGCGAAGGGGGGCACCCCACCUGCCUGCCGACAGGGCUCACCCUGGCGAGGGGGCACCCGGGCACCACACCCUGGCGAACAGACGGCAAUAAACUGGCCCUGGUCAAAGCACAAAGGCUCGCAGACUCCUGUUGGCUCCCGCGCCCGCGCACUCCUAAGUUCCCAGACCCACUCCGGGUCCACGGCACUGGCCCAACACCAGUCUAGGCCCAGAAG